Molecule: transfer RNA, 88 nt
Filed under: Bacteroidales bacterium
Lineage: Bacteria; Pseudomonadati; Bacteroidota; Bacteroidia; Bacteroidales
Also listed under: 1 other name
Description: tRNA-Ser
Rfam family: tRNA
About the family: Transfer RNA (tRNA) molecules are approximately 80 nucleotides in length. Their secondary structure includes four short double-helical elements and three loops (D, anti-codon, and T loops).
Source: RNAcentral
GGAGAGGUGCUCGAGUGGUUGAAGAGGCACGCCUGGAAAGUGUGUAUACUCCAAAAGGGUAUCAAGGGUUCGAAUCCCUUUCUCUCCG